This 236-nucleotide long non-coding RNA is filed under the name Lathyrus oleraceus (garden pea). RNAcentral describes it as "Pisum sativum (pea) long non-coding RNA (PSAT_LNC020895)". The record is from RNAcentral. Lineage: Eukaryota; Viridiplantae; Streptophyta; Magnoliopsida; Fabales; Fabaceae.
UUAAUCAAGGAGUAUUUCAUCUGAUAAAUGAGAAGACAAAGAAGACUACUAGCUAUGGGAAUUGCUUGCUUGGGUGUGGCUAUCUUUAUUUGAUGCCUAGAUCUUCAUGAUGUCUGAUAUAGCUAAUUACUUAUUGAUUAUUGCUUGAUUCAAAGUCCAAAGGAAAAUAUGUUUCUAUAUGACAUUCUUGUCUAUUGGAUUGCAUCCCAUUGGUUAGAUCUUUUCAAAUCAUAAAU